CCGACCUCGCCUCCGCUUCCACCCGUUCAAAGGACUCUUUCGCCGACUCCACCUCUGCCUUCGCUAUGUCGGCGUCGGCUUGGGCAAUCGACACGUCCUCCUCGGCCUUGGCGAGAUUCUCUAGGUUGACCCGGAGCUGCUCGCAUUCAGCCUCAAGCUCGACGGCGACGCCAUCCCGUUCGUGCUACAGUCGGUGCGCGGUCCGACCCUUGCACUUGGCUUCCUUUUGGGCUGACUUAAGUUCGGACCCGAGAUGAGAGAUCUCGUCUUCAAGCCUCGCCUCC
RNAcentral lists this long non-coding RNA (284 nucleotides) under Elaeis guineensis (African oil palm). RNAcentral's name for it is "long non-coding RNA (EGUI_LNC072712)". Lineage: Eukaryota; Viridiplantae; Streptophyta; Magnoliopsida; Arecales; Arecaceae. The record is from RNAcentral.